This 405-nucleotide unclassified non-coding RNA is filed under the name soil metagenome. RNAcentral describes it as "partial contains 5.8S ribosomal RNA, internal transcribed spacer 2, and large subunit ribosomal RNA". The stretch from base 1 to 121 matches the Rfam family "5.8S ribosomal RNA", at positions 35 to 154 of the family's 154-position model. The record is from RNAcentral.
GAUGAAGAACGCAGCGAAAUGCGAUAAGUAAUGUGAAUUGCAGAAUUCAGUGAAUCAUCGAAUCUUUGAACGCACCUUGCGCCCUUUGGCCAUUCCGAAGGGCAUGCCUGUUUGAGUAUCAUGAACACCUCAACUCUUUAUGGUUUUCCAUGAUGAGCUUGGACUCUGGGGGUUUUGCUGGCUCACAGUCGGCUCCUCUAAAAUGAAUCAGCUUACCAGUGUUUGGUGGGUAUCAUGGGUGUGAUAACUAUCUACACUUGUGGUUUUUCCACCAGGUAACCUUCAGCAGUGGAGGUUCGCUGGAGCUCAUAGAUGUCUCUCCUCAGUGAGGACAGCCCUUUGAAUGUUUGAUCUCAAAUCAGGUAGGACUACCCGCUGAACUUAAGCAUAUCAAUAAGCGGAGGA